This is an RNA transcript of Fragaria vesca subsp. vesca, 572 nucleotides long. RefSeq lists it as uncharacterized. The transcript is spliced from 3 exons. Lineage: Eukaryota; Viridiplantae; Streptophyta; Magnoliopsida; Rosales; Rosaceae. The record is from RefSeq and is a predicted model, not a curated record.
AUGGGUCUCAGAGUCUAUGGAUGGUAUUUGAGGAGACUAGGAAAGGAAUUGGCUCUCUUUGGUGGAGCUCCCCCUGCUGCUGAGGGAGAAGCUGACGAGAAUGAUGAGGGAAAUGCGAGCCAGGAGGAAGAUGAAGAGAGUGAGCCAGAUACACCAAUCGCUGUAAAUUUCUUAGUUUUAGUGGUCAGAGUGAAUUAGAGAACCUUGAGAAAGUAAUACAUGACUCCAUCAUGGAGAUUUUUAAAGCAAGAGAAAGAAAGGCCCUGAAUGGAGAAGUAGAUGGAUUUGGGAGUGACUUCCGUGGAUUACUGUUAAACGCUCAUUCAUGAUAUGAACGAAAAAUAAAAUAGGAUGCCUUUUUCUACUCAGUGUCUUCCGCUUCAAGUAUUUUGUAGUUGAAAUUUCACAGCUGUUUAUCUGUAGAACAGAGUAAACUAGUUCUGAAUUCAGAACUUCCAACUUUGGUCAGGCUUGAGGCUCCUUGAGAAAAGAUAAAUCUGAAAGGCCCGUGAUUUGUUCACAUUUGCAAGAUAUAAUUAGAACCUCCACCACUCAAAGGUGGAAUUAUAUGC